UCACAAGGGAGAUGACUAACAUUUUUAGCUGAAAAUGACAGCAGAUUCAGACAUUCUGCAAUACAACAAAAGACAACAAACUCGGAACCUCUAUGACUGAAAUUAAUUACUUGAAGCACCUCCUAAGAUUUUAAGUGAUGUUCUAAUCCAGUGUUACUCAUUGCGCGGCUCGCCAAGCUUUAAUUUGGGGUUCGCACGGCAAAUAAUACGGUGAUAUGACCUAACGUGAAAGUGAGCCGGGCAGCCAGAAAUCUGCCCCAAUGGCCCUCUAUGAGAGCGUGCUGCAGUUUCACUUUUCACCACAGAUUUACGUUGGACAUUUGUGGGGUGCUGCAGAACUAGAGAGGGCUCCACACACCCUCUGAGAGACUGGCUGCCCGCUUAGUAUCGUAAAUACAUGCCUGCAGAAUCCAUGCGCUACAUUUUAACAUAUCCUGCUCACUUUACGACUAGAAAAUACAAAAAAAUCUCAGCCAUGAACACUAUAAAGAGGAAACCGAGAAAACAGGAUUGCUAACAACAAGAAGAAAGUCAAGAAAAUGCAUGCUUCCGCUCAUCCCAGCAUUAAGACCGAUGCUGAGCACUGCAGCCGCUUCUGCGGGACAGGACGACCCCUAUGUGUCCCUGCUCAGAGACAGAGCUCCCAUGAGACACAAGAGAGGAUGAAUACGCUCUCCUUGCCCCACACAGUCUCCCCCAGCCCACCCCCGUUUUCUCUCCAUUGCCCGAACGGAGUCUGAGGCUGCCGCACUCACUGGCUGCAACGGUAAUUGGAACAUAAUGGAACAUUUUUGCCGACUGAACUGAACCCUUUGCCCUUAUCACCUUCUGAACCGCUCACAAAAUAGGCCCACAUUCCACGGCCUACUGCGCGAGUACACACACCUCUCAGUGCUGAUUGACCACUUUGGUCAGGCAUCAUACAAGCACAUUUCACGCACUCUACCUUCAUACACACACCAAAUAUGAGACACACGCACACAUGCUUUUCAGAGGUUGUUUCUUAACUUUUUUUAAGAGAUUCUAAGAAAGAUUACAAAAUACAUUAUGUAUAUAUAAAUACAUUUAUUUAAAGGAUUAGUUCACAUUAAAAUUUCCUGAUAAUUUAC
Megalobrama amblycephala (Wuchang bream) is the source of this 1109-nucleotide long non-coding RNA. RefSeq lists it as uncharacterized. Lineage: Eukaryota; Metazoa; Chordata; Actinopteri; Cypriniformes; Xenocyprididae. The record is from RefSeq and is a predicted model, not a curated record. The transcript is spliced from 3 exons.